CAUCAUCUAACCUAGCAUUCAUUUGAAAGAGCAAAGCAUGUGCAUGGAUGGAGUGUUGGGUUAGGAGACAAUGGACGGUGGGAGUGAUAUGGACUCUGACUCAGCCUGAAGCUAGCAGCAACAUGUCUUUGAUGGAUCGAUGCAUUCAUUAAAAAGACGAGUAAGACAGCACUGAAUUAUACAUUUGAGGAAUUUGAUAACAUUUGUGAUGUGAUUCUGAUCCCCAAAGACGAAGCCCCGCACGUGAGGAACCCCAACAUUUAUCUCGAUAAUACAACUUACUGAUUCAUAGUUUGCGCCCCCCUCCCUCUCUGUCUCUCUCUCUGAAUACUUUCAGUUUGAGUCUCUGUGGUCGUGGAGCUGUGUCUGUCUUGUUCCAUAAUUUUUUAUGUUCAAUAGCUAGGCAGCGGAAGAUGUGCCGCAAUUAAAUUUGUGCGGUGCGACGUGUCAGAAAGCUGUGUUGUGGUGGAACACUCGAGGAAUGUGGACUGUGAGGAGGUACCACAGAAGGCUGCAGAGAAUUAAUGGAAGAAGAGCUAUGGUAUUAUUAUUGUUGUUAUUAGUAAUUAUGCAUACGAUAUAGGAGCAAAUAAAAGAGUUGGAGGGAGGGAGAGAGAGCCACAAUAUGAAGCUCCCUCCCAGUUCCUUUCCCCUUUACACUAAUCAUAGUUGAAAUCUGGUGGAAUGGAAGAGCUUAAAUUAACUUUGUAUUGUUGUACGUGUCCUGAUUAAUUGAUGCAAAAUCUCAUUCCUCGACGAACUAAAAUCUUGUAGAACUAUGGAUUUUUCUCACCAUCUUAAUUAAAUCAUCUGUGGAAUAUGGAUCUCACCACCAGUUAAAUAAAAUAGAGUGGAACAAGAUACGCAUGAGUUUAAGUGGAGAGAGAAAGAAAGAGAGCAGUCCCACAUCGAUGUUGAGAUAGAAGAGGGAUCGAAGUGGGUUAUAUAAAAACACGAAAGGAAGACUAAAGAAAGCAUGAUCCUUCAGGCAGAAACGGGAUGUGAUGAGUGGUCAGUAUUCGCAAUAAUUAUGCGAGAGAUGGGUGUCCGCCCCAAAGCCUGGUUACGACAAUUGGGCACCCUAAUCUUUGUACCAUCUGAUCCCUAUUCUCAA
Prunus dulcis (almond) is the source of this 1114-nucleotide long non-coding RNA. RefSeq lists it as uncharacterized. Lineage: Eukaryota; Viridiplantae; Streptophyta; Magnoliopsida; Rosales; Rosaceae. The transcript is spliced from 2 exons. The record is from RefSeq and is a predicted model, not a curated record.